This is a ribosomal RNA of Lepisosteus oculatus (spotted gar), 117 nucleotides long. NCBI's taxonomy places the organism in Eukaryota, Metazoa, Chordata, Actinopteri, Semionotiformes, Lepisosteidae. The record is from Ensembl.
GCCAGUGGCCAUAUCACCAUGCAGUCCUCAACUGGCUACCCACUGAAGCUAAGCAGGGUUGAGCCUGGUCAGUUCCUGGAUGGGAGACCUCCUGGGAAGCUAUGGUUGCUGCUGGAA